This 401-nucleotide ribosomal RNA is filed under the name Schizothorax richardsonii (snow trout). RNAcentral describes it as "partial 12S ribosomal RNA". It matches the Rfam family "Bacterial small subunit ribosomal RNA", at positions 831 to 1392 of the family's 1533-position model. Lineage: Eukaryota; Metazoa; Chordata; Actinopteri; Cypriniformes; Cyprinidae. The record is from RNAcentral.
GUUUAGCUCGCCGUAACUCAGACAUCCACUACAAUUAGAUGUCCGCCAGGGUACUACGAGCAUUAGCUUAAAACCCAAAGGACCUGACGGUGUCUCAGACCCCCUUAGAGGAGCCUGUUCUAGAACCGAUAACCCCCGUUUAACCUCACCACUUCUAGUCACCCCAGCCUAUAUACCGCCGUCGUCAGCUUACCCUGUGAAGGAUAUAAAAGUAAGCAAGAUGGGCACAGCCCAGAACGUCAGGUCGAGGUGUAGCGUAUGAGGUGGGAAGAAAUGGGCUACAUUUUCUAUUUAUAGAAUAUUACGAACAUGCACCAUGAAACAGUGCUUGAAGGAGGAUUUAAUAGUAAAAGGGAAAUAGAGUGUCCCUUUGAACCCGGCUCUGAGACGCGUACACCCCC